CCUACGGGAGGCAGCAGUGAGGAAUAUUGGUCAAUGGACGAGAGUCUGAACCAGCCAAGUAGCGUGAAGGAUGACUGCCCUAUGGGUUGUAAACUUCUUUUAUAAAGGAAUAAAACGAGGCACGUGUGCCUUUUUGCAUGUACUUUAUGACUAAGGAUCGGCUAACUCCGUGCCAGCAGCCGCGGUAAUACGGAGGAUCCGAGCGUUAUCCGGAUUUAUUGGGUUUAAAGGGAGCGUAGAUGGGUUGUUAAGUCAGUUGUGAAAGUUUGCGGCUCAACCGUAAAAUUGCAAUUGAUACUGGCAGUCGUGAGUACAGUUGAGGUAAGCGGAAUUCGUGGUGUAGCGGUGAAAUGCUUAGAUAUCACGAAGAACCCCGAUUGCGAAGGCAGCUUACUAAACUGUGACUGACAUUGAUGCUCGAAAGUGUGGGUAUCAAACAGGAUUAGAUACCCUGGUAGUC
RNAcentral lists this ribosomal RNA (460 nucleotides) under uncultured bacterium. Its description in RNAcentral is "partial 16S ribosomal RNA". It matches the Rfam family "Bacterial small subunit ribosomal RNA", at positions 338 to 795 of the family's 1533-position model. The record is from RNAcentral.